RNAcentral lists this ribosomal RNA (224 nucleotides) under uncultured bacterium. RNAcentral describes it as "partial 16S ribosomal RNA". It matches the Rfam family "Bacterial small subunit ribosomal RNA", at positions 109 to 334 of the family's 1533-position model. The record is from RNAcentral.
CGGAACACGUGUGCAACCUGCCUUUAUCUGGGGGAUAGCCUUUCGAAAGGAAGAUUAAUACUCCAUAAUAUAUUGAACGGCAUCGUUUAAUAUUGAAAGCUCCGGCGGAUAGAGAUGGGCACGCGCAAGAUUAGCUAGUUGGUGAGGUAACGGCUCACCAAGGCGAUGAUCUUUAGGGGGCCUGAGAGGGUGAUCCCCCACACUGGUACUGAGACACGGACCAG